Long non-coding RNA from Salvia splendens (bonfire salvia), 222 nucleotides. RefSeq lists it as uncharacterized. The transcript is spliced from 3 exons. The record is from RefSeq and is a predicted model, not a curated record. Lineage: Eukaryota; Viridiplantae; Streptophyta; Magnoliopsida; Lamiales; Lamiaceae.
GUUCUGCUUUCGGAUAGAAGUGUAGUGACAGUUCCCACAGAAGACCUUCUACCAACCAAUCCUCAGAUACUUUACUAAGUUGAUGAUCUUCCACAACUAAGUUAUUUGAGCGUUUAGUUCUUCACAAUCUUCAAUAUAGAUAUUUACAAGAUAAUUUAAAUAGAAUGGCAGGCUCUGGAUUUUUGUCCGUCAAUCCAUUUAAAAAUGUCUAGCUAUAUGGGG